AUUGAACGCUGGCGGCGUGCCUAACACAUGCAAGUCGAGCGGUAACGCGGGAGCAAUCCUGGCGACGAGCGGCAAACGGGUGAGUAAUGCUUCGGAAUCUGCCCAGUAGUGGGGAACAACCAGCCGAAAGGUUGGCUAAUACCGCAUACGUCCUACGGGAGAAAGCGGGGGAUCGUAAGACCUCGCGCUAUUGGAUGAGCCGAAGUCGGAUUAGCUAGUUGGUAGGGUAACGGCCUACCAAGGCGACAAUCCGUAGCUGGUCUGAGAGGA
RNAcentral lists this ribosomal RNA (270 nucleotides) under uncultured bacterium. Its description in RNAcentral is "partial 16S ribosomal RNA". It matches the Rfam family "Bacterial small subunit ribosomal RNA", at positions 30 to 300 of the family's 1533-position model. The record is from RNAcentral.